AACGAACGCUGGCGGCAGGCCUAACACAUGCAAGUCGAGCGAGGACUUCGGUUCUAGCGGCGGACGGGUGAGUAACGCGUGGGAAUGUUCCCUUCUCUACGGAAUAGCCCUGGGAAACUGGGAGUAAUACCGUAUACGCCCUAUUGGGGAAAGAUUUAUCGGAGAAGGAUCAGCCCGCGUUGGAUUAGGUAGUUGGUGGGGUAAUGGCAUACCAAGCCGACGAUCCAUAGCUGGUUUGAGAGGAUGAUCAGCCACACUGGGACUGAGACACGGCCCAGACUCCUACGGGAGGCAGCAGUGGGGAAUCUUAGACAAUGGGGGCAACCCUGAUCUAGCCAUGCCGCGUGAGUGAUGAAGGCCUUAGGGUUGUAAAGCUCUUUCAGCUGGGAAGAUAAUGACGGUACCAGCAGAAGAAGCCACGGCUAACUCCGUG
Molecule: ribosomal RNA, 433 nt
Filed under: uncultured bacterium
Lineage: Bacteria
Description: partial 16S ribosomal RNA
Rfam family: Bacterial small subunit ribosomal RNA
Source: RNAcentral